GAUCUUGAGUGCGCCGGCGGUGUCCUCGACGGGCUCGCGACGGAGGCCGAGAUCGGAGAUGGCGCGGCCGCAGUGGGCGAGCGCCAUGGGGUGGGAGAUCACGCGGCGGAGCUCAGCUUUGCGGACGCCGGGCAUGGCGAGGAGGCAGUAGUUGACGAAGAGGCUUAUCUCUUGGACAAUGGAUAGGUCGUGCCGGAGCAGGAGGUCGUAGUUGCGGAGGGCGGUACCUUCCAUGGUGCUCUCGACGGGGAGGAUGACGCGGUCCGCGGCACCGCCAUGGACGGCGGCGAUCGCGUCGGAGAAGGAGCGGCAGGGGAGGGGGGAGGAGUUUGGGAGGGCGGUUUUGGCGGCGAACUCGCUGUAGGCGCCGGGGGCGCCCUGGUAGGCGAUGCGGAGGGGAGGGGAGUGGAGGCGAGAAGCGGCGCCGUUCUCCGAGGCGAGAGGCGGCGCCGCCGCGGGUGGGUUGAAGGUCCGGCGAGCCGACGGGGAGGCGAGAUCUGGGGCAGUUGGGGAUGAGGGGUAGUUUGGUAAUUUGAGGCUGGGGAGUGAAGCCAUU
Molecule: unclassified non-coding RNA, 556 nt
Filed under: Hevea brasiliensis (rubber tree)
Lineage: Eukaryota; Viridiplantae; Streptophyta; Magnoliopsida; Malpighiales; Euphorbiaceae
Source: RNAcentral